CCAAGAAUGUAGCUCAGUGGUGGAGCGCUUUCCUAGUGUGUGUGAAGCACUGGGUUCAAUCCCCAGCACUGGGG
Molecule: transfer RNA, 74 nt
Filed under: Marmota monax (woodchuck)
Lineage: Eukaryota; Metazoa; Chordata; Mammalia; Rodentia; Sciuridae
Description: tRNA.Thr
Source: RNAcentral